RNAcentral lists this ribosomal RNA (496 nucleotides) under uncultured bacterium. Its description in RNAcentral is "partial 16S ribosomal RNA". It matches the Rfam family "Bacterial small subunit ribosomal RNA", at positions 29 to 507 of the family's 1533-position model. The record is from RNAcentral.
AUGAACGCUGGCGGCGUGCCUAAUACAUGCAAGUCGAGCGAACGGACGAGAAGCUUGCUUUUCUGAUGUUAGCGGCGGACGGGUGAGUAACACGUGGAUAACCUACCUAUAAGACUGGGAUAACUUCGGGAAACCGGAGCUAAUACCGGAUAAUAUUUUGAACCGCAUGGUUCAAAAGUGAAAGACGGUCUUGCUGUCACUUAUAGAUGGAUCCGCGCUGCAUUAGCUAGUUGGUAAGGUAACGGCUUACCAAGGCAACGAUGCAUAGCCGACCUGAGAGGGUGAUCGGCCACACUGGAACUGAGACACGUUCCAGACUCCUACGGGAGGCAGCAGUAGGGAAUCUUCCGCAAUGGGCGAAAGCCUGACGGAGCAACGCCGCGUGAGUGAUGAAGGUCUUCGGAUCGUAAAACUCUGUUAUUAGGGAAGAACAUAUGUGUAAGUAACUGUGCACAUCUUGACGGUACCUAAUCAGAAGGCCACGGCUAACUACGUG